CACCGCCGCGGGAAUACGAAGGGUGCAAGCGUUAAUCGGAAUUACUGGGCGUAAAGCGUGCGUAGGCGGUUUGUUAAGUCUGUUGUGAAAUCCCCGGGCUCAACCUGGGAAUGGCAAUGGAUACUGGCAAGCUAGAGUGUGUCAGAGGAUGGUGGAAUUCCCGGUGUAGCGGUGAAAUGCGUAGAGAUCGGGAGGAACAUCAGUGGCGAAGGCGGCCAUCUGGGACAACACUGACGCUGAGGCACGAAAGCGUGGGGAGCAAACAGGAUUAGAUACCCCGGUAGUCCCUGUCUCUUAUACA
RNAcentral lists this ribosomal RNA (301 nucleotides) under uncultured bacterium. Its description in RNAcentral is "partial 16S ribosomal RNA". It matches the Rfam family "Bacterial small subunit ribosomal RNA", at positions 510 to 808 of the family's 1533-position model. The record is from RNAcentral.